ACAUACGGCCAUAGGAUAUCCGACUAAACAGAAACCCGUUAGCUCUUCUUGUGUUAAACGGUAUUCUGGCGAGCUAGUAGCCAGGUGGGUGACCACCGGCGAAUCCUCGCUGUUGUAUGUU
Molecule: ribosomal RNA, 121 nt
Filed under: Exserohilum turcica Et28A
Lineage: Eukaryota; Fungi; Ascomycota; Dothideomycetes; Pleosporales; Pleosporaceae
Source: RNAcentral